Molecule: long non-coding RNA, 848 nt
Filed under: Homo sapiens (human)
Lineage: Eukaryota; Metazoa; Chordata; Mammalia; Primates; Hominidae
Description: long non-coding RNA NONHSAT202776.1
Source: RNAcentral
UCGCUGCUCACCUGCGCUCCCCGCUGCCCGGCCCAGCCCGCCUCGCCACCGAGUCUGGAAGCCCACACUCACCCCUUUACCCGGGAAACGCGGCCGGAGCCGGCGGCGGGUCGGGAGUCCGAGAUGGUAGAUCCCCCUCCAGGCGCCUCGCUGACAUUUUGUCCCGGACGGAAAACCUCCGCGCGUGCCCCUUAAAGACACAGCGCUGCAUUCACACGUCUGCGGGGAAAGGGGGGCCGUCACGUGUGGCCUUCGCCCGAAAGCGGCUGUAGGCGCAUGAUGUCACAAGUUAUUGGAAGAAAUCCCUCCAACCUAGGUUGGGACAGAUGAAGGCGGCGCUUAUUGGUGUUCACCAAAACACCAGCAUGGUGUACCAGCUUUGGCUAGAUGAUGCUCAGAGGGUCAGUGUGACAGUUUCUGUAUCUCAGCUCUUGUCUCACCUCCCAGAAGAAUCAGGUCACACAUGGACUUGAAGGAUGGGGGUCAUGGAGGGCCAAAAGACGGGCCUGUCUAAUUGCAGGAAAACAAACUCAGGGCUCCCACUGAUUCUACAUUACGGAGGAUCUCAUUUCUGUACCCUGCCCUGGAAGUUGGCAAAAAAACACCAGAGACUGGGUAAUUAAUAAAAAGAAGAAAUUGAUCUGGCCUACAGUUCUGGAGCCUUGGAAGUCCGAGAUCAAGGAGCUGCAUCUGGACUCAAUGAUCACCCGCUCCAGAGGAUGCAGCAAAAAGGUGCCAUCUUGGAAGCAGAGACCAGCUCUCACCAGACGCUGAAUCUGCUGGCUCCCUGAUCUUGGACUUCCCAGGGUCCAGAACUCUGAGAAAUAAAUUUCUAUUGUUUAUAAUGU